UGGGGAAUUUUGGACAAUGGGCGAAAGCCUGAUCCAGCCAUGCCGCGUGCAGGAUGAAGGCCUUCGGGUUGUAAACUGCUUUUGUACGGAACNAAAAGACUCUGGUUAAUACCUGGGGUCAUGACGGUACCGUAAGAAUAAGCACCGGCUAACUACGUGCCAGCAGCCGCGGUAAUACGUAGGGUGCAAGCGUUAAUCGGAAUUACUGGGCGUAAAGCGUGCGCAGGCGGUUAUAUAAAGACAGAUGUGAAAUCCCCGGGCUCAACCUGGGAACUGCAUUUGUGACUGUAUAGCUAGAGUACGGCAGAGGGGGGAUGGAAUUUCCGCGUGUAGCAGUGAAAUGCGUAGAUAUGCGGGAGGAACACCGGAUGGCGAAGGCAAUCCCCUGGGCCUGUACUGACGCUCAUGCACGAAAGCGUGGGGAGCAAACAGGAUUAGAUACCCUGGUAGUCCACGCCCUAAACGAUGUCAACU
Molecule: ribosomal RNA, 474 nt
Filed under: uncultured bacterium
Lineage: Bacteria
Description: partial 16S ribosomal RNA
Rfam family: Bacterial small subunit ribosomal RNA
Source: RNAcentral